Molecule: transfer RNA, 74 nt
Filed under: Schistosoma mansoni
Lineage: Eukaryota; Metazoa; Platyhelminthes; Trematoda; Strigeidida; Schistosomatidae
Source: RNAcentral
AUUAUUAAAUGCCUAGUGGAUAUCACGAUGGCGUUUGAAGCGAAGGGUACUGGGUUCGAGUCCCAGAGUGAACA